UACGGGGGGGGCAAGCGUUGUUCGGAAUUACUGGGCGUAAAGGGCUCGUAGGCGGCCAACUAAGUCAGACGUGAAAUCCCUCGGCUUAACCGGGGAACUGCAUCUGAUACUGGAUGGCUUGAGAUUGGGAGAGGGAUGCGGAAUUCCAGGUGUAGCGGUGAAAUGCGUAGAUAUCUGGAGGAACACCGGUGGCGAAGGCGGCAUCCUGGACCAACACUGACGCUGAGGUGCGAAAGCGUGGGGAGCAAACAGG
RNAcentral lists this ribosomal RNA (253 nucleotides) under uncultured bacterium. Its description in RNAcentral is "partial 16S ribosomal RNA". It matches the Rfam family "Bacterial small subunit ribosomal RNA", at positions 524 to 776 of the family's 1533-position model. The record is from RNAcentral.